ACGUCGGGACGAUCCGGGAAGUAGGUGAUGCGGCGGAAGCCUUCGGCUUCGCAC
RNAcentral lists this small RNA (54 nucleotides) under Sinorhizobium meliloti 2011. RNAcentral describes it as "putative ncRNA". The record is from RNAcentral. Lineage: Bacteria; Pseudomonadati; Pseudomonadota; Alphaproteobacteria; Hyphomicrobiales; Rhizobiaceae.